GCUCGUAUAGCUCAGAGGUAGAGCACUCCCUUGGUAAGGGAGAGGUCGCGGGUUCAAUUCCUGCUAUGAGCUCCA
This 75-nucleotide transfer RNA is filed under the name Campylobacter jejuni. RNAcentral describes it as "tRNA-Thr". It matches the Rfam family "tRNA". From Rfam's summary of the family: Transfer RNA (tRNA) molecules are approximately 80 nucleotides in length. Their secondary structure includes four short double-helical elements and three loops (D, anti-codon, and T loops). Further hydrogen bonds mediate the characteristic L-shaped molecular structure. tRNAs have two regions of fundamental functional importance: the anti-codon, which is responsible for specific mRNA codon recognition, and the 3' end, to which the tRNAs corresponding amino acid is attached (by aminoacyl-tRNA synthetases). tRNAs cope with the degeneracy of the genetic code in two manners: having more than one tRNA (with a specific anti-codon) for a particular amino acid; and 'wobble' base-pairing, i.e. permitting non-standard base-pairing at the 3rd anti-codon position. The record is from RNAcentral. Lineage: Bacteria; Pseudomonadati; Campylobacterota; Epsilonproteobacteria; Campylobacterales; Campylobacteraceae.